CUGGCGUGGCUGUCGAUUUCAGUGAACCUUCUCUUGUCUGUCUAUGACAAUGUCAAGCAGGUACGUUAUCCAGUGAGGGUCUACUUCCAUGAGCCUCCAGAUUUGCAAGCAAAUGCAGGUUCAAAGAGAGGCAGAGAACCAAAACUAAUACCUCAAGAAGGCAUUUCAGAUAUGGACACUGAUAAUCCAGUAAGUGUGACAAAAACAAUUCAGCAAUUUUCCUUUCAGAGUGAUUUCUUAGUAACAAAGGCAGAAGCACUGUCUUCGAAGAUAUCCUCGCUUUUAUUCUAAAUUGUACUACUCCAUACAAGUGAUCUUCUACAGCAAAUAAAAAACAGUAAAUGAUAUGUUCCACAAACUGACUGGAUAGUGUUGACAAGGGCAAGAGGCCAGGUGCUCGGAGAAGACGGAGUGCGUGUGCACAGCGUGGUUCUUCCAGGGCUUGCCUCAAGCACGUCGGUCAGUUUGUCAGGCCCUGGAGAGAUUUACACCUUGAAGCAUGAUGUUACAGAUGUUCGAUGCCUGAUGCCAGGACUCAUUCUGGCAAUACGGAAAGUGGUACGCUUGAAGAACUUGAUCUAUGGUCUGCAGAAGUUCUUGUAGGAAAUUAUCAAUUCACACGUCAAGAGAACUACAAUUUUUGACCUUCCAGCUGUUUAUGAUGAGAGACAAAUGGGAUUAAAAUCAAUUCCUUUCCUUGGCUCGUAAUUAGAAAUGGUGCCACUGGCAAGACAGAUCGGAGAACCUGUUGAGUAUAUGUGUUUGUGUUUGUGCAUAUUGUGUAUUGG
This is a long non-coding RNA of Triticum aestivum (bread wheat), 788 nucleotides long. RefSeq lists it as uncharacterized. NCBI's taxonomy places the organism in Eukaryota, Viridiplantae, Streptophyta, Magnoliopsida, Poales, Poaceae. The record is from RefSeq and is a predicted model, not a curated record. The transcript has 3 exons.